RNAcentral lists this ribosomal RNA (446 nucleotides) under uncultured bacterium. RNAcentral's name for it is "bacterial SSU rRNA". It matches the Rfam family "Bacterial small subunit ribosomal RNA", at positions 331 to 794 of the family's 1533-position model. The record is from RNAcentral.
CCAGACUCCUACGGGAGGCAGCAGUAGGGAAUUUUCGGCAAUGGGGGGAACCCUGAUGCAGCGACGCCGCGUGGGUGAAGAAGCGCCUCGGCGCGUAAAGCCCUGUCAGCAGGGAAGAAAAUGACGGUACCUGAAGAAGAAGCCCCGGCUAACUACGUGCCAGCAGCCGCGGUAAUACGUAGGGGGCAAGCGUUAUCCGGAUUUACUGGGUGUAAAGGGGGCGCAGACGGCGAUGCAAGCCAGGAGUGAAAGCCCGCGGCUCAACUGCGGUAGUGCAUUUGGAACUGUAUGGCUGGAGUGCAGGAGAGGCAGGCGGAAUUCCUAGUGUAGCGGUGAAAUGCGUAGAUAUUAGGAGGAACACCAGUGGCGAAGGCGGCCUGCUGGACUGUAACUGACGUUGAGGCUCGAAAGCGUGGGGAGCAAACAGGAUUAGAUACCCGAGUAAC